Molecule: ribosomal RNA, 675 nt
Filed under: uncultured bacterium
Lineage: Bacteria
Description: bacterial SSU rRNA
Rfam family: Bacterial small subunit ribosomal RNA
Source: RNAcentral
CAUGCAAGUCGAACGGCAGCACAGGGGAGCUUGCUCCCUGGGUGGCGAGUGGCGGACGGGUGAGGAAUACAUCGGAAUCUACCUUGUCGUGGGGGAUAACGUAGGGAAACUUACGCUAAUACCGCAUACGACCUACGGGUGAAAGCGGAGGACCGCAAGGCUUCGCGCGAUUGGAUGAGCCGAUGUCGGAUUAGCUAGUUGGCGGGGUAAAGGCCCACCAAGGCGACGAUCCGUAGCUGGUCUGAGAGGAUGAUCAGCCACACUGGAACUGAGACACGGUCCAGACUCCUACGGGAGGCAGCAGUGGGGAAUAUUGGACAAUGGGCGCAAGCCUGAUCCAGCCAUGCCGCGUGGGUGAAGAAGGCCUUCGGGUUGUAAAGCCCUUUUGUUGGGAAAGAAAAGCAGUCGGUUAAUACCCGAUUGUUCUGACGGUACCCAAAGAAUAAGCACCGGCUAACUUCGUGCCAGCAGCCGCGGUAAUACGAAGGGUGCAAGCGUUACUCGGAAUUACUGGGCGUAAAGCGUGCGUAGGUGGUUCGUUAAGUCUGAUGUGAAAGCCCUGGGCUCAACCUGGGAAUUGCAUUGGAUACUGGCGGGCUAGAGUGCGGUAGAGGAUGGCGGAAUUCCCGGUGUAGCAGUGAAAUGCGUAGAGAUCGGGAGGAACAUCUGUGGCGA